RNAcentral lists this ribosomal RNA (468 nucleotides) under uncultured bacterium. RNAcentral describes it as "partial 16S ribosomal RNA". It matches the Rfam family "Bacterial small subunit ribosomal RNA", at positions 38 to 507 of the family's 1533-position model. The record is from RNAcentral.
GAAGAAAGAGGGAGGAGGGAGGAAAAAAGGAAAGUAGAAUGGAAAGGCCCUGCUUUUGUGGGGUGCUCGAGUGGCGAACGGGUGAGUAACACGUGAGUAACCUGCCCUUGACUUUGGGAUAACUUCAGGAAACUGGGGCUAAUACCGGAUAGGAGCUCCUGCUGCAUGGUGGGGGUUGGAAAGCUUCGGCGGUUGGGGAUGGACUCGCGGCUUAUCAGCUUGUUGGUGGGGUAGUGGCUUACCAAGGCUUUGACGGGUAGCCGGCCUGAGAGGGUGACCGGCCACAUUGGGACUGAGAUACGGCCCAGACUCCUACGGGAGGCAGCAGUGGGGAAUAUUGCACAAUGGGCGGAAGCCUGAUGCAGCAACGCCGCGUGCGGGAUGACGGCCUUCGGGUUGUAAACCGCUUUCGCCUGUGACGAAGCGUGAGUGACGGUAAUGGGUAAAGAAGCACCGGCUAACUACGUA